Molecule: ribosomal RNA, 119 nt
Filed under: Pteropus alecto (black flying fox)
Lineage: Eukaryota; Metazoa; Chordata; Mammalia; Chiroptera; Pteropodidae
Source: RNAcentral
GCCGUCUACCAUGCCACCCUGAACAAGCCCGAUCCCGUCUGAUCUCGGAAGCUAAGCAGGGUCGGGCCUGGUUAGCACUUGGAUGGGAGACUGCCUAGGAAGACAAGGUACUGUAGGCA